Molecule: long non-coding RNA, 296 nt
Filed under: Nicotiana benthamiana
Lineage: Eukaryota; Viridiplantae; Streptophyta; Magnoliopsida; Solanales; Solanaceae
Description: long non-coding RNA (NBEN_LNC003194)
Source: RNAcentral
ACUAUGUCUACCACUCCGACCACCAUCAUUCUCAUCUACAAUUAACACUCAUCCACCUCAAUUGCCACAAAUGACCAUCCCAUCGCCACCAACAACCACAUCCAGCAUUGCCCAUCAUUAUAACCUACCGUCACUCACCCACCACUUUCUUCAGUCACAACUGUUAUCACCACCCGCUAAUAUUAACUAUCACCAUCAUCCUCAAUCAUAAUCGCCAUCGCUACCAAUCACUACUAGCUACUAGCAUGAACCACCAUCAUUACCAAAACUACCAUCAACCACCAUCUCUAGUCGGC